Molecule: ribosomal RNA, 1361 nt
Filed under: uncultured bacterium
Lineage: Bacteria
Description: bacterial SSU rRNA
Rfam family: Bacterial small subunit ribosomal RNA
Source: RNAcentral
AUUGAACGCUGGCGGCAGGCCUAACACAUGCAAGUCGAACGGUAGCACAGAGAGCUUGCUCUCGGGUGACGAGUGGCGGACGGGUGAGUAAUGUCUGGGAAACUGCCCGAUGGAGGGGGAUAACUACUGGAAACGGUAGCUAAUACCGCAUAACGUCGCAAGACCAAAGAGGGGGACCUUCGGGCCUCUUGCCAUCGGAUGUGCCCAGAUGGGAUUAGCUUGUAGGUGAGGUAACGGCUCACCUAGGCGACGAUCCCUAGCUGGUCUGAGAGGAUGACCAGCCACACUGGAACUGAGACACGGUCCAGACUCCUACGGGAGGCAGCAGUGGGGAAUAUUGCACAAUGGGCGCAAGCCUGAUGCAGCCAUGCCGCGUGUAUGAAGAAGGCCUUCGGGUUGUAAAGUACUUUCAGCGGGGAGGAAGGGAGUGAGGUUAAUAACCUCAUUCAUUGACGUUACCCGCAGAAGAAGCACCGGCUAACUCCGUGCCAGCAGCCGCGGUAAUACGGAGGGUGCGAGCGUUAAUCGGAAUUACUGGGCGUAAAGCGCACGCAGGCGGUCUGUCAAGUCGGAUGUGAAAUCCCCGGGCUCAACCUGGGAACUGCAUUCGAAACUGGCAGGCUGGAGUCUUGUAGAGGGGGGUAGAAUUCCAGGUGUAGCGGUGAAAUGCGUAGAGAUCUGGAGGAAUACCGGUGGCGAAGGCGGCCCCCUGGACAAAGACUGACGCUCAGGUGCGAAAGCGUGGGGAGCAAACAGGAUUAGAUACCCCGGUAGUCCACGCUGUAAACGAUGUCGACUUGGAGGUUGUUCCCUUGAGGAGUGGCUUCCGGAGCUAACGCGUUAAGUCGACCGCCUGGGGAGUACGGCCGCAAGGUUAAAACUCAAAUGAAUUGACGGGGGCCCGCACAAGCGGUGGAGCAUGUGGUUUAAUUCGAUGCAACGCGAAGAACCUUACCUACUCUUGACAUCCAGAGAACUUAGCAGAGAUGCUUUGGUGCCUUCGGGAACUCUGAGACAGGUGCUGCAUGGCUGUCGUCAGCUCGUGUUGUGAAAUGUUGGGUUAAGUCCCGCAACGAGCGCAACCCUUAUCCUUUGUUGCCAGCGAUUCGGUCGGGAACUCAAAGGAGACUGCCAGUGAUAAACUGGAGGAAGGUGGGGAUGACGUCAAGUCAUCAUGGCCCUUACGAGUAGGGCUACACACGUGCUACAAUGGCACAUACAAAGAGAAGCGACCUCGCGAGAGCAAGCGGACCUCAUAAAGUAUGUCGUAGUCCGGAUUGGAGUCUGCAACUCGACUCCAUGAAGUCGGAAUCGCUAGUAAUCGUGGAUCAGAAUGCCACGGUGAAUACGUUCCCGGGCCU